UGGGAUGAUUACUCAUUUAA
This 20-nucleotide microRNA is filed under the name Schistosoma mansoni. RNAcentral describes it as "sma-miR-8467-3p". The record is from miRBase by way of RNAcentral. Lineage: Eukaryota; Metazoa; Platyhelminthes; Trematoda; Strigeidida; Schistosomatidae.